This 791-nucleotide ribosomal RNA is filed under the name uncultured bacterium. Its description in RNAcentral is "bacterial SSU rRNA". It matches the Rfam family "Bacterial small subunit ribosomal RNA", at positions 28 to 800 of the family's 1533-position model. The record is from RNAcentral.
GAUGAACGCUGGCGGCGUGCCUAAUACAUGCAAGUCGAGCGAACAGAUGAGAAGCUUGCUUCUCUGAUGUUAGCGGCGGACGGGUGAGUAACACGUGGGUAACCUACCUAUAAGACUGGGAUAACUCCGGGAAACCGGGGCUAAUACCGGAUAAUAUUUUGAACCGCAUGGUUCAAUAGUGAAAGACGGUUUCGGCUGUCACUUAUAGAUGGACCCGCGCCGUAUUAGCUAGUUGGUAAGGUAACGGCUUACCAAGGCGACGAUACGUAGCCGACCUGAGAGGGUGAUCGGCCACACUGGAACUGAGACACGGUCCAGACUCCUACGGGAGGCUGCAGUAGGGAAUCUUUCGCAAUGGGCGAAAGCCUGACGGAGCAACGCCGCGUGAGUGAUGAAGGUCUUCGGAUCGUAAAACUCUGUUGUUAGGGAAGAACAAAUUUGUUAGUAACUGAACAAGUCUUGACGGUACCUAACCAGAAAGCCACGGCUAACUACGUGCCAGCAGCCGCGGUAAUACGUAGGUGGCAAGCGUUAUCCGGAAUUAUUGGGCGUAAAGCGCGCGUAGGCGGUUUCUUAAGUCUGAUGUGAAAGCCCACGGCUCAACCGUGGAGGGUCAUUGGAAACUGGGAAACUUGAGUGCAGAAGAGGAGAGUGGAAUUCCAUGUGUAGCGGUGAAAUGCGCAGAGAUAUGGAGGAACACCAGUGGCGAAGGCGGCUCUCUGGUCUGUAACUGACGCUGAUGUGCGAAAGCGUGGGGAUCAAACAGGAUUAGAUACCCUGGUAGUGCACGC